GCGCCCGUAGCUCAGCUGGAUAGAGCGGCGGUUUCCUAAACCGCAGGUCGCAGGUUCGAGUCCUGCCGGGCGCA
RNAcentral lists this transfer RNA (74 nucleotides) under Planctomycetota bacterium. RNAcentral's name for it is "Planctomycetes bacterium tRNA-Arg". It matches the Rfam family "tRNA". Rfam says of the family: Transfer RNA (tRNA) molecules are approximately 80 nucleotides in length. Their secondary structure includes four short double-helical elements and three loops (D, anti-codon, and T loops). Further hydrogen bonds mediate the characteristic L-shaped molecular structure. tRNAs have two regions of fundamental functional importance: the anti-codon, which is responsible for specific mRNA codon recognition, and the 3' end, to which the tRNAs corresponding amino acid is attached (by aminoacyl-tRNA synthetases). tRNAs cope with the degeneracy of the genetic code in two manners: having more than one tRNA (with a specific anti-codon) for a particular amino acid; and 'wobble' base-pairing, i.e. permitting non-standard base-pairing at the 3rd anti-codon position. The record is from RNAcentral. Lineage: Bacteria; Pseudomonadati; Planctomycetota.